This 406-nucleotide ribosomal RNA is filed under the name uncultured bacterium. RNAcentral's name for it is "bacterial SSU rRNA". It matches the Rfam family "Bacterial small subunit ribosomal RNA", at positions 355 to 776 of the family's 1533-position model. The record is from RNAcentral.
UGGGGGAUAUUGCACAAUGGGGGAAACCCUGAUGCAGCGACGCCGCGUGAGGGAAGAAGGUCUUCGGAUUGUAAACCUCUGUCUUCGGGGACGAACACAAUGACGGUACUCGAGGAGGAAGCCACGGCUAACUACGUGCCAGCAGCCGCGGUAAAACGUAGGUGGCAAGCGUUGUCCGGAAUUACUGGGUGUAAAGGGAGCGCAGGCGGAGCUGCAAGUUGGGCGUCAAAUCUACGGGCUUAACCCGUAUCCGCGCUCAAAACUGUAGCUCUUGAGUAGUGCAGAGGUAGGCGGAAUUCCCGGUGUAGCGGUGGAAUGCGUAGAUAUCGGGAGGAACACCAGUGGCGAAGGCGGCCUACUGGGCACCAACUGACGCUGAGGCUCGAAAGUAUGGGUAGCAAACAGG